AUUGAACGCUGGCGGCAUGCCUUACACAUGCAAGUCGAACGGCAGCACGGGAGCAAUCCUGGUGGCGAGUGGCGAACGGGUGAGUAAAGUAUCGGAACGUGCCCAGUCGUGGGGGAUAACGUAGCGAAAGUUACGCUAAUACCGCAUACGAUCUAUGGAUGAAAGCGGGGGGUCGCAAGACCUCGCGCGAUUGGAGCGGCCGAUAUCAGAUUAGGUAGUUGGUGGGGUAAAGGCUCACCAAGCCGACGAUCUGUAGCUGGUCUGAGAGGACGACCAGCCACACUGGGACUGAGACACGGCCCAGACUCCUACGGGAGGCAGCAGUGGGGAAUUUUGGACAAUGGGCGAAAGCCUGAUCCAGCCAUGCCGCGUGCAGGAUGAAGGCCUUCGGGUUGUAAACUGCUUUUGUACGGAACGAAAAGGUUUGGCCUAAUAAGCUGAGCUCAUGACGGUGCCGUAAGAAUAAGCACCGGCUAACUACGUGCCAGCAGCCGCCGCGG
Molecule: ribosomal RNA, 500 nt
Filed under: uncultured bacterium
Lineage: Bacteria
Description: partial 16S ribosomal RNA
Rfam family: Bacterial small subunit ribosomal RNA
Source: RNAcentral